GACAGAGGGGGCAAGCGUUGUUCGGAUUUACUGGGCGUAAAGGGCGCGUAGGCGGCCUCUGCAAGUCGACUGUGAAAUCUCCGGGCUUAACCCGGAACGGUCAGCCGAUACUGCAGGGCUAGAGUGCAGAAGGGGCAACUGGAAUUCUCGGUGUAGCGGUGAAAUGCGUAGAUAUCUGGAGGAACACCGGUGGCGAAGGCGGCGUUCUGGACUGUUUCUGACACUGAAUAACGAAAGCCAGGGGAGCAAACGGG
This 254-nucleotide ribosomal RNA is filed under the name uncultured bacterium. RNAcentral's name for it is "partial 16S ribosomal RNA". It matches the Rfam family "Bacterial small subunit ribosomal RNA", at positions 524 to 776 of the family's 1533-position model. The record is from RNAcentral.